AUGGAGUCAUGCCCGAGGAAAGAGGUGGACAACUUGGAGAAGCUAGUUGAAGAAAUUUUCUGCCUGUUUACUGAGGCAUUUUUCGGUCCAUACAGUUAUAUGAUCAAUCGAUUGAUCCGUUGCAGGUGUCAAGUGGGUACUUACAUCUUUGUAUUUCGACUUGAGAUCAAUGAAAACCAACUACAUUUGAGCAGCCCAAAAGGUAGUAGAGGAGCAACAAUAGUAGUGUGUGUUUUGUCUAGGUGCUUGUUUCAUGCCAGAGUGUCAUAUACAGAUACUGAUUGCUAUUGCAUAUAUGUGCUUCACUUGGCACAUUUGCUCCCAUGUUUCCACUUAGACCCUCUGUUUUAA
This 351-nucleotide ribosomal RNA is filed under the name Triticum aestivum (bread wheat). Its description in RNAcentral is "partial small subunit ribosomal RNA". The record is from RNAcentral. Lineage: Eukaryota; Viridiplantae; Streptophyta; Magnoliopsida; Poales; Poaceae.